GAUGAACGCUGGCGGCGUCCCUAAUAAAUGCAAGUCGAGCGAACAGACGAGGAGCUUGCUCCUCUGACGUUAGCGGCGGACGGGUGAGUAACACGUGAAUAACCUACCUAUAAGACGGGGAUUACUUCGGGAAACCGGAGCUAAUACCUGAUAAUAUAUUUAACCGCACGGUUCAAUAGAAAAAGACGUUUUUUCUGUCACUGAUAGAUGGAUCCGCGCCGCACUAGCUAGUUGGUAAGGUAACGGCUUACCAAGGCAAAAAUGCGUAACCGACAUGAGAGGGUGAUCGGCCACACUGGAACUGGAACAGGGUCCAGACUCCUACGGGGGGCACCAGAGGGGAAUCUUCCGCACUGGGCGAAAGCCUGACGGGGCAACGCGGCGGGAGUGAUGAAGGUCUUCGGAUCGUAAAACUCUGUUAAUAGGGAAAAACAAAUGUGUAAGUAAAUAUGCACGUCUUGACGGUACCUAAUCAGAAAGCCACGGCUAACUACGUG
RNAcentral lists this ribosomal RNA (497 nucleotides) under uncultured bacterium. RNAcentral describes it as "partial 16S ribosomal RNA". It matches the Rfam family "Bacterial small subunit ribosomal RNA", at positions 28 to 507 of the family's 1533-position model. The record is from RNAcentral.